This 253-nucleotide ribosomal RNA is filed under the name uncultured bacterium. RNAcentral describes it as "partial 16S ribosomal RNA". It matches the Rfam family "Bacterial small subunit ribosomal RNA", at positions 524 to 776 of the family's 1533-position model. The record is from RNAcentral.
UACGUAGGGUGCAAGCGUUGUCCGGAAUUAUUGGGCGUAAAGAGCUCGUAGGCGGUCUGUUGCGUCGGCUGUGAAAACCCGAGGCUCAACCUCGGGCCUGCAGCCGAUACGGGCAGACUAGAGUUCGGCAGGGGAGACUGGAAUUCCUGGUGUAGCGGUGAAAUGCGCAGAUAUCGGGAGGAACACCAGUGGCGAAGGCGGCACUCUGGGCCGGAACUGACGCUGAGGAGCGAAAGCGUGGGGAGCGAACAGG